RNA transcript from Oryzias latipes (Japanese medaka), 120 nucleotides. RefSeq lists it as uncharacterized. Lineage: Eukaryota; Metazoa; Chordata; Actinopteri; Beloniformes; Adrianichthyidae. The record is from RefSeq and is a predicted model, not a curated record.
GAGGGACAGAAGUCAUGUCCAAAGUGUGGACAACUCUCACAUGUCAGCAGGCCUCCCUCAGCAUUGGAUGGCUGAACAGGAAGGUCUCUGCAACCAGCAGAGAAACUUCAGAGUGGAACA